Non-coding RNA from Acanthosepion pharaonis, 99 nucleotides. Lineage: Eukaryota; Metazoa; Mollusca; Cephalopoda; Sepiida; Sepiidae. The record is from the annotation of a GenBank genome assembly.
UUACGGCCAUAUCACGUUGGAACACCGAUUCCCGUACGAUCACCGAAGUUAAGCAACGUCCUAGAGGGGUGACCGCUUGGGAGUACCAGGUGCUGUAUU